AUAGAUGAAAUGUCUAUAUUGAACUUACUGAACUCAAGAUGGAUUACUGUGAGAGAAUCAAGUCAUGGGUCACCUCCUAUAGCUGAUGGUAUUACCAUAUUAAGCCAAAUUUCUCCGUGGAAACAACAGGACAAACUGUCAUAACAGACUGAUGAUGCCUUACAAUCAGGAAAGAACAUGCUUGAAAUAUUACUCCGAAAAGCAAACGCACCCGCUUCUUUGGACCUGUGUUCAGAUGUUUGAUCAAAGCACUCUGAUUUUUACACUGAGCAUUCUGGGACCAUGUACCACAUUGCAGCUAUCAGGCUGAGAAAUACAAAAGAAAACCAGCCGGUUUGACCUGGAUGUUCCACACCUGAGGCUCUUGCGAAGUCUGACCUCCCACAUCAACACCUUUGUGUUGCAGAAAGAAAAACAUAUUGAAUUCACGGACAUGCUUCAACGACUAGACAUUUUUAGUCAUUUAGUCACUUAGACAUUUUUUCCAGUUCAGAACAGAAAAUGUGCACUUAGAUUUAGUAUGAGAGAAUUGUACUCCUUUGUUCAACCUCUUCUGUCUAUCAUUCCCAUAAGCCUCUAAUGAGAACUUGGUAAACAUCGACAGGUAACCUGUAAUACGACCACAUUUUUUGUCACUCUUUAAGCUGACACACCCUGUUACUUUUGCAGUUGCAAUUCACCUCUGCUUUUCAGUAUUUCUGACGCAAAAAGAAAAUCAGCAACAACUGACAAACCCUUCAGAACCCGCUCAGUGAAUGUGGAAAGUAAUUUGCUUUUCAUUUUACAUACUUUUUUGUUGCCCACCUUAAAGGUUCAGUGGGUUAUUUUGUCACGAGUCUCAUUUGUAUUAAGAGUAUCUGAAAAAGCAUGACUCGGGUUAAGAGUUUCAUCAAAGUACAAAAACAACAAGCGUGAAGGGCUUACACGGCUAGUAUUUCUAACUAAAUUAUAUAUAACCUUUGUGUAAUAUUUUUGGUUCCCAAAAUGUGAAAAAAAAACAUAUUUUACACACACACA
Molecule: long non-coding RNA, 1017 nt
Organism: Scleropages formosus (Asian bonytongue)
Lineage: Eukaryota; Metazoa; Chordata; Actinopteri; Osteoglossiformes; Osteoglossidae
Exons: 3
Source: RefSeq, a predicted model, not a curated record